Molecule: small nuclear RNA, 107 nt
Organism: Mesocricetus auratus (golden hamster)
Lineage: Eukaryota; Metazoa; Chordata; Mammalia; Rodentia; Cricetidae
Source: Ensembl
AUGUUUGCUUCAGCAGCAUGUAUACUAAAAUUGGAACAACCCAGAGAAGAUUAGCAUGGACCCUGCACAAGGAUGGCAUUCAAACUCACAAAAUGUUCCAUAUUGCU